CUUAAAUCUUGAUACAACUUCAGGGGAGAAGUGGCUUGAGUCUUCUGAACCUGUUUCCAAAAAAAGAAAAAGUCUGAUCAGAUGCAGAAACGGAGAUGAAGAGAAAUUAUGGGAUUUUCCCUGUAUGAGAAUCCCAACAAGGUCCUGACUUUCAAGGGUUUUUUUGUUUUAGUUUUUUGGGGUUUUUUGCGGGGCACUGAGGGUUAAGUGACUUGCCCGGGGUCACACAGCUAGUAAGUGUCAAGUGUCUGAGGCCAGAUAUGAACUCAGGUCCUUCUGAAUCCAGGACUGGUGCUUUAUCCACUGCACCACCUAGCUGCCCCCAAGGUCCUGACUUUCAAGACCAGUCCUCCUUGCUCUAUACUGUGCUUACACUCAGCAAUCAGGGACUCACUUUACCUUAUGUCUCACUUGAGCCCCACCAGGGAUCCACCCUGAGAGCUGGAAAGGUUCAGAGAUUUUAUGUGGCCUGCUAAUGGUCACACAACGAAUAAAUAUGGGAGAUGAAAUUCCAA
Dromiciops gliroides (monito del monte) is the source of this 515-nucleotide long non-coding RNA. RefSeq lists it as uncharacterized. The transcript has 2 exons. Lineage: Eukaryota; Metazoa; Chordata; Mammalia; Microbiotheria; Microbiotheriidae. The record is from RefSeq and is a predicted model, not a curated record.